Molecule: ribosomal RNA, 207 nt
Filed under: uncultured bacterium
Lineage: Bacteria
Description: partial 16S ribosomal RNA
Rfam family: Bacterial small subunit ribosomal RNA
Source: RNAcentral
CGGAUCGCAGGCUGNAACCCGCCUGCGUGAAGUUGGAAUUGCUAGUAAUCGCGGAUCAGCAUGCCGCGGUGAAUACGUUCCCGGGCCUUGUACACACCGCCCGUCACACCAUGGGAGCCGGUAAUACCCGAAGUCAGUAGCCUAACCGCAAGGGGGGCGCUGCCGAAGGUAGGAUUGGCGACUGGGGUGAAGUCGUAACAAGGUACC